AAAACUCACGCAUGCGCUAUGUAAAUUUCGUCUCAUAAAAUCGCGUGAGACAUAAAGAUAUUAAUUUUAUUUGU
This is a long non-coding RNA of Pararge aegeria (speckled wood butterfly), 74 nucleotides long. RefSeq lists it as uncharacterized. The record is from RefSeq and is a predicted model, not a curated record. The transcript is spliced from 3 exons. NCBI's taxonomy places the organism in Eukaryota, Metazoa, Arthropoda, Insecta, Lepidoptera, Nymphalidae.